GAGGGUAUAGCUCAGUGGUAGAGCAUAUGCUUAGCAUGCACAAGGUUAUGGGUUCAAUCCCCAGUACCUCUG
This is a transfer RNA of Camelus ferus (Wild Bactrian camel), 72 nucleotides long. It matches the Rfam family "tRNA". From Rfam's summary of the family: Transfer RNA (tRNA) molecules are approximately 80 nucleotides in length. Lineage: Eukaryota; Metazoa; Chordata; Mammalia; Artiodactyla; Camelidae. The record is from Rfam.